This 776-nucleotide ribosomal RNA is filed under the name Cryptosporidium sp. bat genotype VIII. Its description in RNAcentral is "SSU rRNA". It matches the Rfam family "Eukaryotic small subunit ribosomal RNA", at positions 252 to 1052 of the family's 1831-position model. Lineage: Eukaryota; Apicomplexa; Conoidasida; Eucoccidiorida; Cryptosporidiidae. The record is from RNAcentral.
CAUAAUAACUUUACGGAUCACAUUUUUUUUGAUGUGACAUAUCAUUCAAGUUUCUGACCUAUCAGCUUUAGACGGUAGGGUAUUGGCCUACCGUGGCUAUGACGGGUAACGGGGAAUUAGGGUUCGAUUCCGGAGAGGGAGCCUGAGAAACGGCUACCACAUCUAAGGAAGGCAGCAGACGCGCAAAUUACCCAAUCCUAAUACAGGGAGGUAGUGACAAGAAAUAACAAUACAGGACUUUUUAAUAGUUUUGUAAUUGGAAUGAGUUAAGUAUAAACCCCUUUACAAGUAUCAAUUGGAGGGCAAGUCUGGUGCCAGCAGCCGCGGUAAUUCCAGCUCCAAUAGCGUAUAUUAAAGUUGUUGCAGUUAAAAAGCUCGUAGUUGGAUUUCUGUUAAUAAUUUAUAUAGAAUAUUUCAGUAUAUUUAUAUAAUAUUAACAUAAUUCAUAUUACUAUAUUUACGUGUCUAGUAUAUGAAAUUUUACUUUGAGAAAAUUAGAGUGCUUAAAGCAGGCUUUUGCCUUGAAUACUUCAGCAUGGAAUAAUAUUAAAGAUUUUUAUCUUUCUUAUUGGUUCUAAGAUAGAAAUAAUGAUUAAUAGGGACAGUUGGGGGCGUUUGUAUUUAACAGUUAGAGGUGAAAUUCUUAGAUUUGUUAAAGACAAACUAGUGCGAAAGCAUUUGCCAAGGAUGUUUUCAUUAAUCAAGAACGAAAGUUAGGGGAUCGAAGACGAUCAGAUACCGUCGUAGUCUUAACCAUAAACUAUGCCAACUAGAGA